AUGGAUCCGGCCGCCAACGGCGACAAGCCCUCCGACGAGCAGCAGCAGUUCGAUCCCAGCCGGAUGAUUGGCAUCAUCAAAAGGAAGGCCUUGAUUAAAGACCUAGCCGCUGCUUACCAUGCUGAGUGUGUAGCAUGUUGUAAAGAGCUUCUCGAGCUUCAGAGAAAAUGGGAGGAGGAGCAAUGCGUCGAAGCUAAGAUGCCUGAAGUGCCAAAACCAUCUUCGACGAAGCCUUCUAAGCGCAGGAAGAGGUAG
This 255-nucleotide ribosomal RNA is filed under the name Triticum aestivum (bread wheat). Its description in RNAcentral is "partial small subunit ribosomal RNA". Lineage: Eukaryota; Viridiplantae; Streptophyta; Magnoliopsida; Poales; Poaceae. The record is from RNAcentral.